AUGGACAAUGGUAUCGGAUCGGUGGACCGGCCCAAGGCGGUACGAAACGGCGUGGUGGCGUGCCCCGCGGCCUUCCACACGUCAUCACCGGCGCCCACGAUCCCCUCCGCCGAGGCCACGCUGGGCAGUCACCUUGCGCGGCGGCUGGUGGAGGUGGGCGUCAGCGACGUGUUCGCGGUGCCGGGCGACUUCAACCUGACCCUCCUCGACCACCUCAUCGCCGAGCCCGGCCUGCGCCUCGUCAGCUGCUGCAACGAGCUCAACGCGGGCUACGCCGCCGACGGGUACGCGCGCGCCAAGGGCGUGGGCGCCUGCGCCGUCACCUUCACCGUUGGCGGCCUCAGCGUGCUCAACGCCAUCGCCGGCGCCUACAGCGAGAACCUUCCCGUGAUCUGCGUCGUCGGCGGGCCCAACUCCAACGACCACGGCAGCAACCGCAUCCUCCACCACACCAUCGGCCUCCCCGACUUCUCCCAGGAGCUCCGCUGCUUCCAGCCCGUGACAUGCCACCAGGUCGUCAUCAACAACCUGGACGACGCUCACGAGCAGGUCGAUAAGGCCAUCGCGACGGCUCUCAGGGAGAGCAAGCCCGUCUACAUCAGCGUCGCCUACAACCUCCCUGGCGUCUCCCACCCCACCUUCUUCGGCAACCCCAUCCCCUACUGCAUCGUCCCGAGGCAGAGCAGCCAGAUGGGACUCGAGGCGGCGCUGGAUGCGACGGUGGAGUUCCUCAGCAAGGCAGUGAAGCCGGUCAUGGUGGCGGAGCCGAAGCUCCGGGUGGCCAAGGCGGCCGCGGCGUUCGCGAGCGGGUACGCGGUGGCGACGAUGCCGUCGGCGAAGGGGCUGGUGCCGGAGACGCUGCCGCGGUUCAUCGGGACCUACUGGGGCGCGGUCAGCACGUCCUUCUGCGUGGAGAUGGUGGAGUCGGCGGACGCGUACCUCAUCGCCGGCCCCAUCUUCAACGACCAGAGCUCCGUGGGGUACUCGUUCCUGCUCAACAAGGAGAAGGCGGUGAUUGUGCAGCCCGAGCGCGUCACCGUCGGCAACGGCCCGACGUUCGGGUGCGUCAUGAUGAAGGACUUCCUGUCGGGGCUAGCCAAGCGCGUGAGCAUGAAGAGGAACACCACGGCAUUCGACAACUACAAGAGGAUCUUUGUACCGCAGGGGCAGCCGCUGGAGACUGAGCCCGGCGAGCAGCUGCGCGUCAACGUGCUGUUCAAGCACAUCCAGCAGAUGUUCACCGGUGACAGCGCCGUGAUCGCCGAGGCCGGCGACUCAUGGUUCAACUGCCAGAAGCUCAAAAGCUCCCUGACGGCUGCGGGUGCGAGUUCCAGAUGCAGUACGGGUCCAUCGGGUGGUCCGUCGGGGCGUUGCUAG
Molecule: ribosomal RNA, 1377 nt
Filed under: Triticum aestivum (bread wheat)
Lineage: Eukaryota; Viridiplantae; Streptophyta; Magnoliopsida; Poales; Poaceae
Description: partial small subunit ribosomal RNA
Source: RNAcentral